Molecule: small nucleolar RNA, 139 nt
Organism: Arvicanthis niloticus (Nile rat)
Lineage: Eukaryota; Metazoa; Chordata; Mammalia; Rodentia; Muridae
Product: small nucleolar RNA SNORA48
Source: RefSeq, a predicted model, not a curated record
CACCCCUGGCAAUGGGCAGAGAAACCUUGUUGAUUAGCAUUGUCUUGUUAUCAGUCAGGGGCAGAGCAAACAGCCAUCCCUGUUCAUCCUAGCUUGAUGCAUGGCUUGACCAAAGCUGUCUUAUACCUAGGACACAUAA